Long non-coding RNA from Oncorhynchus keta (chum salmon), 1191 nucleotides. RefSeq lists it as uncharacterized. The transcript is spliced from 4 exons. NCBI's taxonomy places the organism in Eukaryota, Metazoa, Chordata, Actinopteri, Salmoniformes, Salmonidae. The record is from RefSeq and is a predicted model, not a curated record.
CAUAAAUCCUUUAUUCUAAUGUAUUCAGUACAUACAGGGCAUGAACUCAUUGUAAAGGUCAACAGAACAGUGGUCUCCUGAUGGAGUUGGGGACAGGGCAUGAACUCAUUGUAAAGGUCAACAGAACAGUGGUCUCCUGAUGGAGUUGGGGACAGGGCUGAAUGUGUAAAGGUCAACAGAACAGUGGUCUCCUGAUGGAGUUGGGGACAGGGCUGAAUGUGUAAAGGUCAACAGAACAGUGGUCUCCUGAUGGAGUUGGGGACAGGGCUGAAUGUGUAAAGGUCAACAGAACAGUGGUCUCCUGAUGGAGUUGGGGACAGGGCAUGAACUCAUUGUAAAGGUCAACAGAACAGUGGUCUCCUGAUGGAGUUGGGGACAGGGCAUGAACUCAUUGUAAAGGUCAACAGAACAGUGGUCUCCUGAUGGAGUUGGGGACAGGGCAUGAACUCAUUGUAAAGGUCAACAGAACAGUGGUCUCCUGAUGGAGUUGGGGACAGGGCAUGAACUCAUUGUAAAGGUCAACAGAACAGUGGUCUCCUGAUGGAGUUGGGGACAGGGCUGAAUGUGUAAAGGUCAACAGAACAGUGGUCUCCUGAUGGAGUUGGGGACAGGGCAUGAACUCAUUGUAAAGGUCAACAGAACAGUGGUCUCCUGAUGGAGUUGGGGACAGGGCUGAAUGUGUAAAGGUCAACAGAACAGUGGUCUCCUGAUGGAGUUGGGGACAGGGCUGAAUGUGUAAAGGUCAACAGAACAGUGGUCUCCUGAUGGAGUUGGGGACAGGGCUGAAUGUGUAAAGGUCAACAGAACAGUGGUCUCCUGAUGGAGUUGGGGACAGGGCUGAAUGUGUAAAGGUCAACAGAACAGUGGUCUCCUGAUGGAGUUGGGGACAGGUGUCCUGAUACAUAGGAUGAUGUAAUGACAUCAUUAAAGAAAGAUGUGACCAAAAUCUGUGUCCCUAAUGGCACCCAAUAUAACAUAGUGCCCUACUUUAGACCAGAGCCAUAUUCAAUAUAACAUAGUGCCCUACUUUAGACCAGAGCCAUAUUCAAUAUAACAUAGUGCCCUACUUUAGACCAGAGCCAUAUUCAAUAUAACAUAGUGCCCUACUUUAGACCAGAGCCAUAUUCAAUAUAACAUAGUGCCCUACUUUAGACCAGAGCCCUAUUCUCUAUAAUAUAGUGGACUACAUCA